This 422-nucleotide ribosomal RNA is filed under the name uncultured bacterium. Its description in RNAcentral is "bacterial SSU rRNA". It matches the Rfam family "Bacterial small subunit ribosomal RNA", at positions 36 to 507 of the family's 1533-position model. The record is from RNAcentral.
CUGGCGGCAGGCCUAACACAUGCAAGUCGAACGGAUCCUUCGGGAUUAGUGGCGGACGGGUGAGUACACGUGGAACGUGCCCUUUGGUUCGGAACAACUCAGGGAAACUUGAGCUAAUACCGGAUGUGCCCUUCGGGGGAAAGAUUUAUCGCCAUUGGAGCGGCCGCGUCUGAUUAGCUAGUUGGUGAGGUAAAGGCUCACCAAGGCGACGAUCAGUAGCUGGUCUGAGAGGAUGAUCAGCCACACUGGAACUGAGACACGGUCCAGACUCCUACGGGAGGCAGCAGUGGGGAAUAUUGGACAAUGGGCGCAAGCCUGAUCCAGCAAUGCCGCGUGGGUGAUGAAGGCCUUCGGGUUGUAAAGCCCUUUUGGCGGGGACGAUGAUGACGGUACCCGCCGAAUAAGCUCCGGCUAACUUCGUG